AAUAGAUACCCGGGUAGUCCACGCUGUAAACGUUGGGCGCUAGGUGUGGGGGGCCUCUCCGGUUCUCUGUGCCGCAGCUAACGCAUUAAGCGCCCCGCCUGGGGAGUACGGCCGCAAGGCUAAAACUCAAAGGAAUUGACGGGGGGCCCGCACAAGCGGCGGAGCAUGCGGAUUAAUUCGAUGCAACGCGAAGAACCUUACCUGGGUUUGACAUGGCCGCAAAACCGGCAGAGAUGUCGGGUCCUUCGGGGGCGGUCACAGGUGGUGCAUGGCUGUCGUCAGCUCGUAUCGUGAGAUGUUGGGUUAAGUCCCGCAACGAGCGCAACCCUCGUUCGAUGUUGCCAGCGGUUCGGCCGGGGACUCAUCGAAGACUGCCGGGGUCAACUCGGAGGAAGGUGGGGAUGACGUCAAGUCAUCAUGCCCCUUAUGUCCAGGGCUUCACGCAUGCUACAAUGGCCGGUACAAUGGGCUGCGAUACCGUGAGGUGGAGCGAAUCCCAAAAGCCGGUCUCAGUUCGGAUCGGGGUCUGCAACUCGACCCCGGU
This 544-nucleotide ribosomal RNA is filed under the name uncultured bacterium. RNAcentral describes it as "bacterial SSU rRNA". It matches the Rfam family "Bacterial small subunit ribosomal RNA", at positions 777 to 1322 of the family's 1533-position model. The record is from RNAcentral.